Molecule: non-coding RNA, 47 nt
Organism: Picea glauca (white spruce)
Lineage: Eukaryota; Viridiplantae; Streptophyta; Pinopsida; Pinales; Pinaceae
Source: Rfam
GUAAUGGUGUCUUUAGACACCACCCUUUAUCAUCAAAAAAAAAUUGU